RNAcentral lists this ribosomal RNA (253 nucleotides) under uncultured bacterium. RNAcentral describes it as "partial 16S ribosomal RNA". It matches the Rfam family "Bacterial small subunit ribosomal RNA", at positions 524 to 776 of the family's 1533-position model. The record is from RNAcentral.
GACGAACCGUGCGAACGUUAUUCGGAAUCACUGGGCUUAAAGGGCGCGUAGGCGGGCUGUCAAGUCUGGGGUGAAAUCCCGCGGCUCAACCGUGGAACUGCCUCAGAUACUGACGGCCUCGAGGGAGGUAGGGGCAUGCGGAACUGUAGGUGGAGCGGUGAAAUGCGUUGAUAUCUACAGGAACUCCGGUGGCGAAAGCGGCGUGCUGGACCUCUUCUGACGCUGAGGCGCGAAAGCUAGGGGAGCAAACGGG